RNAcentral lists this ribosomal RNA (362 nucleotides) under uncultured Acidocella sp. RNAcentral describes it as "bacterial SSU rRNA". It matches the Rfam family "Bacterial small subunit ribosomal RNA", at positions 64 to 454 of the family's 1533-position model. The record is from RNAcentral. Lineage: Bacteria; Pseudomonadati; Pseudomonadota; Alphaproteobacteria; Acetobacterales; Acidocellaceae.
GCACGGUCAGCAAUGGCAGUGGCGGACGGGUGAGUAACACGUAGGAAUCUAUCCCAGGGUGGGGGACAACAGCGGGAAACUGCUGCUAAUACCGCAUGAUACCUGAGGGUCAAAGGCGCAAGUCGCCUUGGGAGGAGCUUGCGUCUGAUUAGCUUGUUGGUGAGGUAAAGGCUCACCAAGGCUACGAUCAGUAGCUGGUCUGAGAGGAUGAUCAGCCACAUUGGGACUGAGACACGGCCCAAACUCCUACGGGAGGCAGCAGUGGGGAAUAUUGGACAAUGGGCGAAAGCCUGAUCCAGCAAUGCCGCGUGUGUGAAGAAGGUCUUCGGAUUGUAAAGCACUUUUGGCAGGGACGAUGAUGA